AGAGUUUGAUCCUGGCUCAGGACGAACGCUGGCGGCGUGCUUAACACAUGCAAGUCGAACGGAAAGGCCCUUCGGGGUACUCGAGUGGCGAACGGGUGAGUAACACGUGGGUGAUCUGCCCUGCACUUUGGGAUAAGCCUGGGAAACUGGGUCUAAUACCGAAUAGGACCACGCGCUUCAUGGUGUGUGGUGGAAAGCUUUUGCGGUGUGGGAUGGGCCCGCGGCCUAUCAGCUUGUUGGUGGGGUAAUGGUCUACCAAGGCGACGACGGGUAGCCGGCCUGAGAGGGUGACCGGCCACACUGGGACUGAGAUACGGCCCAGACUCCUACGGGAGGCAGCAGUGGGGAAUAUUGCACAAUGGGCGCAAGCCUGAUGCAGCGACGCCGCGUGAGGGAUGACGGCCUUCGGGUUGUAAACCUCUUUCAAUAGGGACGAAGCGCAAGUGACGGUACCUAUAGAAGAAGCACCGGCCAACUACGUGCCAGCAGCCGCGGUAAUACGUAGGGUGCGAGCGUUGUCCGGAAUUACUGGGCGUAAAGAGCUCGUAGGUGGUUUGUCGCGUUGUUCGUGAAAACUCACAGCUUAACUGUGGGCGUGCGGGCGAUACGGGCAGACUAGAGUACUGCAGGGGAGACUGGAAUUCCUGGUGUAGCGGUGGAAUACGCAGAUAUCAGGAGGAACACCGGUGGCGAAGGCGGGUCUCUGGGCAGUAACUGACGCUGAGGAGCGAAAGCGUGGGGAGCGAACAGGAUUAGAUACCCUGGUAGUCCAA
RNAcentral lists this ribosomal RNA (773 nucleotides) under uncultured bacterium. RNAcentral's name for it is "bacterial SSU rRNA". It matches the Rfam family "Bacterial small subunit ribosomal RNA", at positions 8 to 798 of the family's 1533-position model. The record is from RNAcentral.